UACGGAGGGUGCAAGCGUUAAUCGGAAUUAUUGGGCGUAAAGGGAGCGCAGGUGGGAAUGUAAGUCAGUCUUAAAAGUGCGGGGCUCAACCCCGUGAGGGGAUUGAAACUACAUUUCUUGAGUGCAGGAGAGGAAAGUGGAAUUCCUAGUGUAGCGGUGAAAUGCGUAGAGAUUAGGAGGAACACCAGUGGCGAAGGCGACUUUCUGGACUGUAACUGACACUGAGGCUCGAAAGCCAGGGGAGCGAACGGGAUUAGAUACCCCGGUAGUCCUGGCCGUAAACGAUGGAUACUAGGUGUGGGAGGUAUCGACCCCUUCCGUGCCGGAGUUAACGCAAUAAGUAUCCCGCCUGGGGAGUACGGCCGCAAGGCUGAA
This 375-nucleotide ribosomal RNA is filed under the name uncultured bacterium. Its description in RNAcentral is "bacterial SSU rRNA". It matches the Rfam family "Bacterial small subunit ribosomal RNA", at positions 524 to 898 of the family's 1533-position model. The record is from RNAcentral.